UCCGAAGGGGGCAAGCGUUGUUCGGAAUUACUGGGCGUAAAGGGCGCGUAGGCGGUCUGGUCAGUCGGGCGUGAAAGCCCCGGGCUCAACCUGGGAGGUGCGUCCGAGACGGGCAGGCUUGAGGUCGGAAGAGGGUGGUGGAAUUCCCAGUGUAGAGGUGAAAUUCGUAGAUAUUGGGAAGAACACCGGUGGCGAAGGCGGCCACCUGGUCCGCACCUGACGCUGAGGCGCGAAAGCGUGGGGAGAAAACAGG
Molecule: ribosomal RNA, 253 nt
Filed under: uncultured bacterium
Lineage: Bacteria
Description: partial 16S ribosomal RNA
Rfam family: Bacterial small subunit ribosomal RNA
Source: RNAcentral